UAGGUAUGCAUGUGCCAUGUUGGUUUGCU
Molecule: non-coding RNA, 29 nt
Filed under: Homo sapiens (human)
Lineage: Eukaryota; Metazoa; Chordata; Mammalia; Primates; Hominidae
Source: RNAcentral